ACCCCGUCUCUCUACCUCGCCUCGCCUCUCCCGACCCCCACUCCCAAUCGCCGCAACCGCACCACCAGCGCCGCCCUGAUCGGCACCGAUGGCGGGUGAUCCGACCGGCGCCGGCGGCGGUGGCUCCGCGGAGGGCCUCUCUCCCCCCCCCCCCCACCCCAUCUCUCUGCCUCGCCUCGCCUCUCCCGACCCCCCACUCCCAAUCGCCGCAACCGCACCACCAGCGCCGCCCUGAUCGGCACCGAUGGCGGGUGAUCCGACCAGCGCCGGCGGCGGUGGCUCCGUGGCGGGCAAGGGUCCCCGCUCGUCGACGCGCCACCAGCAGUUUCGUGACCGUGCCAAGACCCGCGUGGACGACCUCCAGGAGAUCUUCUUCGGCCUCCAGUCCGCCCGCAAGGAGAGCCGCUCCGCCGACGCCGCCGUCCUCGAGGAGCAGGUCCAGCGUCGCCUCCCCCGCAUCCUCCCAACAGGUGGCCCCACAAACCCUAGCCUUCCCUCCCCUCGCCGCAACCGCACCACCAGCGCCGCCCUGAUCGGCACCAAUGGCGGGCGAUCUGAUCGGCAGCGGCGGUGGUGGCUCCGCGACGGGCAAGGGUCCCCGCUCGUCGACGCGCCACCAGCAGUUUCGCGACCGCGCCAAGACCCGCGUGGACGACCUCCAGGAGAUCUUCUUCGGCCUCCAGUCCGCUCGCAAGGAGAGCCGCUCCGCCGACGCCGCCGUCCUCGAGGAGCAGGUCCAGCGUCGCCUCCCCUGCAUCCUCCCUACAGAAUUCGCUGGGGAACAAGCAGGUGAUGGAGGUGCAUAUAACCGAAGAUGUUUACCUAAAUUCUGCAUGUUGUCGGGGUGAUGAUAAACUCGCCUACAUGGCUACAUGUGCACGUGAGACAUCAUCUAGGCCCUUGUUAAGGCAAGUCACAAACUAAUGCUUGAUAUUUAAUCUUGUAUUGGUGUUUGAUCUGUAGCUAAUUGUUUAUAUGAUGGAUUAUGUGCAAGACAAAGAUUAUUCUUGUUGAGGAGGAGGAGGAGGAGGAAGCGAGGUGUCGAGUUGCUUGUGGUUGGGCGGCGAGCGGAGAGCCGCGAGUUGCCGCUGACGGCCGACAUAUCGGACUGGAGCGAGCACUUGAAGCUGUGGGUUCUCGGGGACCUGCUCACGUCCGUCGACUUUGGAUCCCGGUUGUCCAUGCUGGUGGUGCAGCAGCAGACCAAGGCGGCCGCUCGAAUGAGGUUGUCAUAGCCUUCCUCCUCCUUCGCCCUGACAACCACCAGGUGGGCGUGAAUUUGAUCAUCACUACUACAACAUGACAGAGGAUACGAUCUGCUGAGGAGGGUCAAGGAAGAUGAGAGCAGGAGGGAUGAGAAUCUUAAGUACAACUGCAAGUGUUCUUUCCUGGAGAUCUAUAAUGAACAAAUUACAGAUCUUCUUGACCCGUCAUCCACAAAUCUUCAAUCACAUCAUAACACUUUUGGCGAGGUCGCGGUCCAUGCCGCUGGGCUGCCACGACGUCGUGCCCCGGGCCAUGCCGCUGUUCCACCAGACCAUGAAGGAGCACGGUAAAAUGUCUAUCACUUGGUUUGGACCGUCACCUAGAGUGACCAUUAGCAAGCCUGAACUUGUGCGCGAAGUUCUGUCCAACAAGUCCGGCCACUUUGAGAAGCUCAAGUUGGGCCGUCUUCAGAGGAUGUUGCACAACGGCAUUGGUAGCCACGAGCGCUAGAAAUGGGCCAAGCACAGGAAGAUCAUCAACCCUAUGUUCCAUCUCGAGAAGCUCAAGCGCAUGUUGACAGCUUUCGCUGCAUGUUGCACGGACCUGGUGCAGAGAUGAGAAGGCCUAGCCGCAGGUGAUGCGCCAUGCGAGGUAGAUGUGUGGCCCGACAUGCAGAACCUGACAGGGGAUGUCAUCUCUCGCGCUGCGUUCGGUAGCAGCUACCUGGAGGGCAGGAGGAUCUUCCAGCUUCAAGGGGAGCAAAUCGAGCUCGCCGUGCUCGCCAUGAACAAGAUACAUAUCCCUGGUUAUUUGUUCUGGCCUACAAAAGCCAACCGAAGGAUGAGACAGAUUGCUGCCAAGAUCGAGAGGAUCCUCAAGGGCAUCAUCGCGAAAAGAGAGAACGCCUUGAUGGCCGGCUAAGCCACAAGCGACGAUCUCCUCGGGCUGCUGCUGGAGUCCAACAUGGCACACAGCAGGGAGGGCGGCAACUCCAAGGCCGGCAUCACGACCGACGACGUGAUCGGAGAGUGCAAGCUCUUCUACUUCGUCGGCAUGGAGACCACGUCGGUGCUGCUCACAUGGACGAUGAUCGUCCUCUGCAUGCACCCAGAGUGGCAGGACCGCGCCAGGGAGGAGGUCCUGCAAGUCUUCGGCGACCGCACGCCGGAUUACGACGGGUUAAGUCGCCUGAGGAUUGUGACCAUGGUGCUGUACGAGGUGCUGCGGCUGUACACGCCGCUGACGGCGCUCCAGCGCAAGACGUACAAGAAUUUCCAACCAAUAAUAAGACCAUAG
This is an RNA transcript of Hordeum vulgare subsp. vulgare (domesticated barley), 2502 nucleotides long. It is a transcript of the gene named cytochrome P450 72A14-like, with no coding region annotated. The record is from RefSeq and is a predicted model, not a curated record. NCBI's taxonomy places the organism in Eukaryota, Viridiplantae, Streptophyta, Magnoliopsida, Poales, Poaceae. The transcript is spliced from 8 exons.